CUUGAACCCGGGAGGCGGAGCUUGCAAUGAGCCGAGAUUGCGUCACUGCACUCCAGCCUAGGCAACAGAACAAGAUUCCAUUUAAAAAAAAAAAAAUCUAAGCAUGAAACACCUUCACAUAUUGUUACCACUGAUGUAUUUCGUCUUAUUAAUGCCAUUUAGUUUGUGCUUUCUGUAUAACAUUCUCUUGUUCCUUCACCUUUUUCCCUUCACCUUUUCCCCCACUUUUUCAGCCUUGGCCGAGUUUGUAGUUUGUCCAUUCCUUCUUUGCCUUUAAUGGCUUGAAAGUUACAUGUCCGCUUCUAUUAAUUUAUUAAUAAACAUUCAACUU
Molecule: long non-coding RNA, 331 nt
Filed under: Homo sapiens (human)
Lineage: Eukaryota; Metazoa; Chordata; Mammalia; Primates; Hominidae
Description: HSALNT0346410
Source: RNAcentral